Molecule: ribosomal RNA, 253 nt
Filed under: uncultured prokaryote
Description: partial 16S ribosomal RNA
Rfam family: Bacterial small subunit ribosomal RNA
Source: RNAcentral
ACGGAGGGUGCAAGCGUUAUCCGGAUUCACUGGGUUUAAAGGGUGCGUAGGAGGGCAGGUAAGUCAGUGGUGAAAUAUCUCAGCUUAACUGAGAGGGUGCCAUUGAUACUGCAGGGCUUGAGUACAGAUGAGGUAGGCGGAAUUGACGGUGUAGCGGUGAAAUGCAUAGAUAUCGUCAAGAACACCGAUAGCGAAGGCAGCUUACCAAGCUGUAACUGACACUGAGGCACGAAAGUGUGGGGAUCAAACAGGA